UACGUAGGGAGCAAGCGUUGUCCGGAAUCAUUGGGCGUAAAGGGCGCGUAGGCGGUUUGCUAAGUUGGAUGUGAAAACUCUGGGCUUAACCCAGAGCCUGCAUCCAAAACUGGCAAACUUGAGUACUGGAGGGGAAAGCGGAAUUCCUGGUGUAGCGGUGAAAUGCGUAGAUAUCAGGAGGAACACCGGUGGCGAAGGCGGCUUUCUGGACAGUAACUGACGCUGAGGCGCGAAAGCUAGGGGAGCAAACAGG
Molecule: ribosomal RNA, 253 nt
Filed under: uncultured bacterium
Lineage: Bacteria
Description: partial 16S ribosomal RNA
Rfam family: Bacterial small subunit ribosomal RNA
Source: RNAcentral